This 152-nucleotide unclassified non-coding RNA is filed under the name uncultured fungus. RNAcentral's name for it is "sequence contains ITS2". Lineage: Eukaryota; Fungi. The record is from RNAcentral.
CAACCAUCAAGCCCCAGGCUUGUGUUGGAGCCCUGCGGCCGUCCGCAGCCUCCUAAAAUUAGUGGCGGGCUCGCUAUCACACCGAGUGCAGUAGUUUUCUCUUCGCUCUGGCAGUGUAGCGGGUUCCGGCCGUGAAACACCCCAUAUUCUAA